Molecule: unclassified non-coding RNA, 444 nt
Filed under: uncultured Bordetella sp.
Lineage: Bacteria; Pseudomonadati; Pseudomonadota; Betaproteobacteria; Burkholderiales; Alcaligenaceae
Description: partial 16S-23S ribosomal RNA intergenic spacer
Source: RNAcentral
ACUACGAGGUAUCUAAUCCUGUUUGCUCCCCGCUUUCGUGCAUAGGCGUCAGUGUUAUCCCAGAGCUGCCUUCGCCAUCGGUGUUCCUCGCAUAUCUGCGCAUUUUCACUGCUACACCCGGAAUUCCACCUCCCUCUGGCCUCUAGCUCGGUGAUUAAAAAUGCAGUUCCAAAGUUAAGCUCUGGGAUUUCAUCUUUCUUUCCGAACCGCCUGCGCACGCUUUAGCCCAGUAGUUCCGAUUAACGCUUGCACCCUACGUAUUACCGCGGCUGCUGGCGUAGUUAGCCGGUGCUUAUUCUGCAGGUACCGUCAGUUGCGCAGGGUGUUAUCCGUGCCGUUUCUUCCUGCCAAAAGUGCUUUACAACCCGAAGGCCUUCAUCGCACACGGGAUAGCGGAUCAGAGUUUCCCCCAUUGUCAAAAAUUCCCCACUGCUGCCUCCCGUG